RNAcentral lists this transfer RNA (87 nucleotides) under Immersiella caudata. RNAcentral's name for it is "Cercophora caudata tRNA". It matches the Rfam family "tRNA". From Rfam's summary of the family: Transfer RNA (tRNA) molecules are approximately 80 nucleotides in length. Their secondary structure includes four short double-helical elements and three loops (D, anti-codon, and T loops). Lineage: Eukaryota; Fungi; Ascomycota; Sordariomycetes; Sordariales; Lasiosphaeriaceae. The record is from Rfam by way of RNAcentral.
UCUUCCGUAGUAUAGUGGUCAGUAUGUGAGCUUGUCACCCAAGAAAUGACGUCGCUCGAGACCCGGGUUCAAUUCCCGGCGGGAGAG